UGUGUUAGAAAGUAAAACAGCAAAUAAGUGAGCUGGAAGAUAGAAUGAUGGAAAUAACUGUCGAGGGGCAGAAUAAAAUAAAAGAAUG
This is a long non-coding RNA of Balaenoptera musculus (blue whale), 88 nucleotides long. RefSeq lists it as uncharacterized. NCBI's taxonomy places the organism in Eukaryota, Metazoa, Chordata, Mammalia, Artiodactyla, Balaenopteridae. The record is from RefSeq and is a predicted model, not a curated record. The transcript is spliced from 3 exons.